GCUGGUGAAGAUUUGGUG
This 18-nucleotide microRNA is filed under the name Rehmannia glutinosa. RNAcentral describes it as "rgl-miR5140". The record is from miRBase by way of RNAcentral. Lineage: Eukaryota; Viridiplantae; Streptophyta; Magnoliopsida; Lamiales; Orobanchaceae.